GAUGAACGCUGGCGGCGUGCCUAAUACAUGCAAGUCGAGCGAACAGACGAGGAGCUUGCUCCUCUGACGUUAGCGGCGGACGGGUGAGUAACACGUGGAUAACCUACCUAUAAGACUGGGAUAACUUCGGGAAACCGGAGCUAAUACCGGAUAAUAUAUUGAACCGCAUGGUUCAAUAGUGAAAGACGGUUUUGCUGUCACUUAUAGAUGGAUCCGCGCCGCAUUAGCUAGUUGGUAAGGUAACGGCUUACCAAGGCUACGAUGCGUAGCCGACCUGAGAGGGUCGUCGCCUAGCCUGGAUCUGAGGCUCGGCCCCGACUCCGGCGGUGGGCCGCGGCCCGGACUCUUCCGCGAUGGAGCAGUGGGUGAUGUUGCAACGUGGGGUAAGGGCUGAAGGUCUUCUGCCGCGUGAGCGCUGUAAUUAGUGGAGUUGUAAUGUGCUAGUAACUGUGCUCGUCAUGACGGUACCUAGUCAGUAAGCUCCGGCUAACUCCGUG
Molecule: ribosomal RNA, 497 nt
Filed under: uncultured bacterium
Lineage: Bacteria
Description: partial 16S ribosomal RNA
Rfam family: Bacterial small subunit ribosomal RNA
Source: RNAcentral